CUCCAGCUGACGAGUCCCAAAUAGGACGAUACUCGCGUCGAACUGGAU
Molecule: non-coding RNA, 48 nt
Filed under: Schistosoma curassoni
Lineage: Eukaryota; Metazoa; Platyhelminthes; Trematoda; Strigeidida; Schistosomatidae
Source: RNAcentral